UACGGGGGGGGCGAGCGUUGUUCGGAAUUACUGGGCGUAAAGGGCGCGUAGGCGGUCUGCUAAGUUGGAUGUGAAAACUCUGGGCUUAACCCAGAGCCUGCAUUCAAUACUGACAGGCUAGAGUUCUGGAGGGGAUAGCGGAAUUCCUGGUGUAGCGGUGAAAUGCGUAGAGAUCGGGAGGAACACCCGUGGCGAAGGCGGCCAUCUGGACCAGCACUGACGCUGAGGCACGAAAGCGUGGGGAGCAAACAGG
RNAcentral lists this ribosomal RNA (253 nucleotides) under uncultured bacterium. RNAcentral's name for it is "partial 16S ribosomal RNA". It matches the Rfam family "Bacterial small subunit ribosomal RNA", at positions 524 to 776 of the family's 1533-position model. The record is from RNAcentral.